GGGUGCGAUCAUACCAGCACUAAUGCACCGGAUCCCAUCAGAACUCCGCAGAUAAGCGUGCUUGGGCGAGAGUAGUACUAGGAUGGGUGACCUCCUAGGAAGUCCUCGUGUUGCACCCC
RNAcentral lists this ribosomal RNA (119 nucleotides) under Corchorus olitorius. The record is from RNAcentral. Lineage: Eukaryota; Viridiplantae; Streptophyta; Magnoliopsida; Malvales; Malvaceae.